Molecule: long non-coding RNA, 7235 nt
Filed under: Malus domestica (apple)
Lineage: Eukaryota; Viridiplantae; Streptophyta; Magnoliopsida; Rosales; Rosaceae
Description: long non-coding RNA (MDOM_LNC002915)
Source: RNAcentral
GUUAUGAUCCCACAUCGACUACACUUAUGGGGGUGUAGGGGUUCUUAAGUCCUUGGGGUCCUCCCACCUAUUGGACUAGUCUUUUGGGUUGGGCUCUUCCUUUGGGCUUGAGGACCUAACAUUGGUAUCAGAGCCUAGGUUCCCGACGCUGCGGAGGGGGCGACCUGGAAAGGGCUACCUUAACGGGAUGACCUAAGGGUGCACCGCCGUUAAGAGUGAAAGCCACCAGAGUAAGGGCCGCCGUGGGCGUCGGCUUCCGAAUGGUGGUGUAAUGUUAUGAUCCCACAUCAACUACACUUAUGGGGGUGUAGGGGUUCUUAAGUCCUUGGGGUCCUCCCACCUAUUGGACUAGUCUUUUGGGUUGGGCUAUUGGUAGUUUUCCCAAAUGUUAUGAUCCCACAUCGACUACACUUAUGGGGGUGUAGGGGUUCUUAAGUCCUUGGGGUCCUCCCACCUAUUGGACUAGUCUUUUGGGUUAGGCUCUUGGUAGUUUUCCCAUGUGGCAUCAUCUUUGGAAUGGUUCUGCCAUUGCACCAGGAUUUCAGUCACUGCAGAAUUAUUUCGUUUCACCAAUCGUCUGUCUAGAAUGGCUACCGGAACAUCUUGAAGAAUACCCGAAUCGGUAAUAACAGGCAAUGGGACAGUAGGCUGGAUAAUGGAACCCAAAUGCUUCUUUAGACAAGACACAUGGAACACAGGGUGAAGUUUAGAGUGAUCUGGUAACUUGAGUUUAUAAGCUACUGGACCAACUUUGGAUAGAAUAGGGAAUGGACCAUAAAAUCGUGGUUGGAGUUUGUGAAAUGGAUGAGAAGCUAGGGACAAAUGCUGGUAUGGCACCAAUCUUAGAUACACUGAAUCUCCCACCUCAAAUACUCGUUCGGACCGGUUCUUAUCAGCUUGAACCUUCAGCCUACAUUGGGCAGCUUCCAGAUUGCUCUUGAGUAAGGAUAAGAUUCGAUCCCUUUCUGUCAAAGCUUGAUCGACAGAUUCUACCUUAGUGGUGCCAGAUUCAUAGGUUUGUACUGUUGGUGGAGCUUAACCAUAUACAAUCUCAAAUGGAGUCAUCUUGGUUGCUGAAUGGAAACUUGUAUUGAAUGACCACUCUGCCCAAGAAAGCCAUGAAACCCAUUUCUUUGGCUACAAGCUACAAAAGCAUCGCAAAUAUGUUUCGAGACAUCGGUUCAAAACCUCAAUUUGGCCAUCUGUUUGAGGAUGGUAACCAGAACUGAAACAUAAUGAAGAACCUUGCAGAUGAAAGAACUCCUUCCAAAAUUUGCUUAAGAAAACCGGAUCUCUGUCACUCACUAUUGAUUUCGGCAUGCCAUGUAGUUUAAAAAUAUUGUCAACAAAGAGUUGAGCAACCAUGGACGCAGAAUAUGGAUGACCAAUAGCAGUGAAGUGAGCAUAUUUGGACAACCGAUCCACCACGACCCAGAUUACAGAUUUACCUUUACAUAGAGGAAGGCCCACAAUGAAAUCCAUGGAUAUGUCUGUCCAAAUCUUGGUAGGUAUAGGCAGAGGAUGCAAUAAUCCAGGAGGAGACAAAGUCUCAUAUUUGUUUUGUUGACAUGUUGAACAGCAAGCUACCAUAUCCUUCACAAACUUCUUCAUCCCUUCCCAAUAAAAACACCUAGAAAUCCGCUUAUAGGUCUUUAAAAAACCCUCAUGACCAGCCGUAGGUGUAGCAUGAUUUUCAUAGAACACUUUGUUUCUCCAGUGAGUAGUGGGGCUAAGCACAAUGCAGUUCUUGUAUUUAAGAAGACCAUUAUCUACAUGAAACUUCAAUGUAGCCACUGUGAUAGAACCGUCAUCCAUAGACAGGAGACUUCGGAUUUUUGUUAUUAUCCAAGGAUCUUUCUCCAUAUCUCUGCGCAAAUCAUCUAGCCACUGAGAAUAAGGGUAAGAAAUAGCCAACACUUCCAUGUCUGAAAGCUGGUGAUCAACAAAAUUGGUAAUAUUCAAGGGAGAUCGUGAUAAGGCAUCUGCUGCUUGGUUAUUACAGCCUUGUUUAUAUUGAAUUUCGUAAUCGAACCCGAGAAGUAUGGUAACCCAUUUCUGUUGUAUUGGAGUAUGGGCCCUGCCUUGAAGGAAAUAUUUCAAAUUGUGGUGAUCAUUUUGAAUAAUGAAGUGAUUGCCCACUAAGUAGGACUGCCAUUUGUGAACAGCAUGUAAGAUGGCUAACGUCUCUCUUUCAUAUGCAGAUAGCGUUUGAUUCCUCAAACAAAGGGCUUUACUUGUGAAAGCAAUUGGUUUGCCUCCCUGUUGAAGCACCGCGCCAAUACCAUGACCCGAAGCAUCAGUUUCAAUCACAAAAGGCCUAGUAAAAUCUGGUAAAGCGAGGACUUAAGGAGAUAACAUUGCAUUCUUGAGAGUAUUAAAAGCUGUGGUAGCUGCAUCUGACCAAUGAAAACUGUCCUUUCGUGUGAGAGCAGUCAAUGGACUUACAAUCUUGCCAAAAUGAGGAAUAAAUUUCCUAUAGUACCCCGUUAAUCCCAAAAACCCUCGCAAAGCUUUCACUGAUUUGGGAAUAGGCCACUGAGCUAUAGAAUCCAGUUUAGUAGGGUCAGCCGAUACCCCAUCCUUGGAUACAAUAUGCCCGAGAUAUUCUACCUGUGAUUGACCAAAUGCACACUUCGAUUGUUUCACAAACAGGUGGUGCUCCUUUAAUGUCUCAAAGACUAUUUUUAAUUGAUCCAAAUGCAGUUGCCAAGAAGGGCUAUAGACCAAUAUAUCAUCGAAGAAAACAAGAAUAAACUUUCUCAAAUAUGGUCGAAAGAUGUCAUUCAUAAGGCAUUGGAAAGUAGCAGGAGCGUUGGUCAAACCAAAUGGCAUUACUAAGAACUCGUAAUGACCAUCAUGUGUCCUAAAAGCUGUCUUUUCAACAUCAUCAGGAUGCAUUCUAAUCUGGUGAUAACCUGCCCUCGAGUCUAACUUGGAAAAGUAUUGUGCCCCAAAUAACUCAUCCAACAAUUCAUCAAUAAGAGGAAUAAGGAACUUAUCUUUAAUGGUGAUGCAAUUAAGGCCUCUAUAGUCCAUGCACAUACGCCAAGUUCCCUCUUUUUUCCUUACUAAGAUAACAGGAGAAGAAUAUGGGCUAUUGCUCACUCGUAUAAAUCCUGCCUCCAAUAAUUCAGCAACACAUUUCUCGAUCUCAGCCUUUUGAACCGGGCCAUAUCGAUAAGGUCGAAUGUUUGGAGGUUUGCUGCCAUGGAUUAGUGGAAUUCUAUGGUCCUGAAUUCUGUGGGGUGGCAAGAACUUGGGAGUUUGAAAUAUUGUCGCAUAGUCUUCCAGUAAGUUAUGCAACUGUUGUUGUUGAAACAGUGUAAGAUUUUGACUAUCCUUGUCCUUCUGUGCAGUAGCUAAUUGGAAUGACCCCACUUCCUCAGUUUUAAUAUGGAACAAGACUGCUCCCACCGUUGACUCCUGAUGAAGUAGCUUUUGCAUUUGGAAAGCAGAAAUAUCCUGAAGAUUUUCCUUAGAUGCCUCCGGACUAGUGAUACAAAAUGUCUGAGAAUGUUUUGUGAACUGCAUGUACAAUUUAUCGAAAUCCCACAAUAUAGGUCCUAAGGUACGCAACCAUUGCACCCCAAGUACAACAUCACAUCCUCCCAAGGCUAUAGCAUAUAGAUCCGAGACACACUUGAAACCCUGAAUUGUAAUAGGAAUUUGAGACAAAGUUUCUUGAGUGGCAAUCUUACCCCCAUCUACAAUCUUCACAUUAAAAACAUGUUUGGUGUCCAAUGAACCUUUUAAUCGCUUAACCAAUCCCACAUCUAUGAAAUUAUGAGAACUACCGGAAUCGAUCAAAAUGGUAGCAGGGCAAUUCUUAAUAAACCCUGUAACUUUCAUGGUCUGAAGUGAUGGAGGUGUAGGGACCCCAAACAAAGCACAGGCAGUGAUUUCUGGUUCCUCAUCUUCUCUGUCAACAUUAUCCCCUGAUUCAGAGUCUUGGACAUCUAUCAACAAUAAUUGUUUCCUUUCACAGCUAUGUCCCCGAACAUAUUUCUCUUUACAAUGGAAACAUAAACCAUUUUUCCGACAGUAAUCGACUUCCUCAGGAGUUAACCUUCUCACAUUAAUUGGCUUAGCAGGAUUCGCAACAGGACUAUUGGAAUUAACAUUCUGAAAUGGAAUUUGAAAAUUUGAUUGCACAAGAGAAGCUUUAGUACCCGAUUUCGCCUUCAACUCCGUGAGCUUGGCAUCAAUUUGAUAGGCAAAAGCGGCAGCCUCCAAUACAUCUCUGGGCUUUAACAGUUUAACAUCAUGGCGUAGUUCCGGUCGAAGACCCCCAAUAAAGCAAGAUUUGAGUAAAGAAGGGCUGAUAUCCCGUGUGCGAUUUGCCAACCUUCGAAAUUCCAUGACAUAAUCUCUGAGAGUGCCUGAUUGUCGUAAUUUGACCAAGUUUUCGGCCGAAUCUUCAAGUUCUGAGGAACCAAAUUCUUGGCACAAUGCUGCUGUGAAAUCCUUCCAAUUGGGAAAAUUCGUCAAACACCUCGCCCAUUGGAACCAUUGCAAAGCUUCACCUUCCAUGUGAAAGGACGCCAAUUUCACCUUCCUGGAUUCGUCAAUGUUGAAAAAAUCGAAGUAAUGCUCAGCCUUGUAGAUCCACCCUAAUGGAUCGUCACCUUCAUUGAAUCUUGGAAACUCCAACUUCAACAACGGUGAUCGAUGUAGCUGAUUGAAAUUAUGCCCAAAUUCGUGAUGAACUGGGUUAGGGUUCCUGCGAUCUUGAAACUGAUUUUCGCCCAAGGUUGCUUCUGAAGAAUCCCCCAAGGAUCCACCAUUACCCCUAGCCAUAAGAGCUUGUAGUUGCUCCAUAAUCAGCUCUAAAUUCGCCUGAACCUUCUCUUGCGCUUGCUGCAUGUCUUCAAUCUUCGUCUCCAGACUCGAUACGCGGGACUCCAUAUUCUUGCGCGACCCUUGCCGCGACAGACAACGUCGAAGGAUUGACCUAAGGGUGCACCGCCGUUAAGAGUGAAAGCCACCAGAGUAAGGGCCGCCGUGGGCGUCGGCUUCCGAAGGGUGGUGUAAUGUUAUGAUCCCGCAUCAACUACACUUAUGGGGGUGUAGGGGUUCUUAAGUCCUUGGGGUCCUCCCACCUAUUGGACUAGUCUUUUGGGUUGGGCUCUUCCCUUGGGCUUGAGGACCUAACAAUAUUACGUCAUUUGGUGUAAUUAAGUGUAACGUUAAGAUACUUAUGUAACCUUGGAGUGUAUAUUUAAACGAUUACGGUGUAACUUUACCUUAGACCUUAUAUGUUGACGUCAUAUUGUACCAAGAUUACGAUGUGUAAGUUCAUUGUGUUCCCUAGUAAUAGCAUAUAUCUAUAUUGAAAUAGUAUGUCAUUGUUAUAAUAAUUAAUGUUAAUUUUGUAACUCAAUCACGCUGAAGUACAAAAACCUACCUAGAUAACAUAAUAAACGUUCACAAUGUAAGUACCAACCUUGUUAUAGUAAUAAUCACGUCAUUCUUUGUCAUUAACUUGAACUUUAUCAUAAUUAUGUAACCUUGGAGUGUAAUUUUGAAUCAUCAUAUUGUAUCUUAAAUGGUAUUGAUACCUUAUCUCUACUAAGGUACCGCAUAGAAUCUCCCUUUUGUGUAUUUAUUUCUUAUUAAGGAUGAAAUUGGUAAAGAAAAGUUGAGCAUAAAGGGUUAUCAUAAAUUUAAUGAGGAUAAUAUUAUUCUAAAAGAAUGUAAUUAAUGUUAAAAGUGCAAGCCCUCAAUCCCUAAGAGCAUCUCUAAUGGAAGUCCAUAUUUAGAGACUCCAACCACCACUUUUGAGAACUUAUUCAGGGCCUUGAUGAAAUCUUUGUGUGCCUAAAUGAAUAUUGUCUCCAAUGAAAGAGUCCUUAGAAUAGAGUUCCUAAAUUUGGAGUUUUACAAUUUCAUGGGAUUAGGUACAAAUUUUCUGUUUGUGUUAACUUAUGUUAAUUAAUUUAGCAUUACGUUGUUAUAUAAAAAAAAAACUUUGCUAACAUUUGAACCAAAAAAAUUUCAAAUUCUGAUACAACGUUUUCUUCAACAAAACGUAACUAAAAUGGCUCCAUUAUUAAACUAAUUCAUUAGAAAAAAUGAAAUAAUUAAAUAGUUCAAAUAAAUAUAUUAACUUAUAUUAAUAAAAAAGUAAAUCUCAAUUUACUAUCCUCAAGUUUCGUAAUUUUCAACAUUUGUUACAUGAAUUUUUUUUCAUCUCAAAGUCAUACCUAAAAUAAUAAUUUUGAAACAAUCUCAUACAUCCGAUAGUCUGGCUGUUAAAUCUCCCGUUAAAUAAUGACAUUGCAUCUAUGUGAAUAAUAAUUAUACGUCACAUGUCCACGUGUAAAUUAAAAAUUCAAAAAAAAAAAUAUUCCCCUCUCCCUUUGAUCUCCAUCGUCUUCAAGCCCAGCAAAGGUUUCCUUCUUUGUUUUCUGCAGCAUGGCCAACCGAUCAAGGAUUUCCUUCACACACACAAAAAAAAAAAAAAAAAAAAACACUAAUAAUUAUACACAAUCACAAAUCAGAGCAUUCAAGUCAGCCAUGUCCACCAAAAAUUUCAGAUCCGUGCUCAGAAAUUGUGGAGACAUGGAGGCUGCGGUUGGGGUUUGUUUUGGGAGACAUGGGGUGGGGGGAAUCGGCGAUGGAGAUAUGUGAGAAGGCAAAUCGGCAGCGGAUUGCAGCGACGGAGUCGGGGAGGGCACUGGCGGAGAGAAAGAGGAUGCGGCGCCGACUAUUACCCCAACUGCAACAAACGCCGACUACCUCCCCCUUCGAGGUCAUAGCUGCCGGAGUUCCAAGGCCGCUGCAUGCACCUCGUAUCAAAGAUCGGCUGCCGGAGAUCCCUGUCACGCUGCACCUGCAACUUUCGUGUUUUCAUGGCGGUGGAGAGUCCGCUGGUCCAAGGUUUGGAGCAAAAACUCCAACUGGAUCAGGAAUUGGUGCCUGGGUCCUAUUUGGCGUUGAGGGCGGAGGGAACUUGCGGGAUUUGGGUUCGAUGGGCGAGGACAUGGUGGGUUAGGGUGCAAGAUAAGGAGGAGGAAGAGGAGGGUGGGGGGGUUAGGAGAGGUAUGGUGGAGAUAGAAAGGGGUAGUCGAAGAAGAAGGUUUACUUUUUUAAUUUUUUUUUAUUUUUAAAAUUUAAAAAAAAAAAUUAAUCCCAGUUAUUGUCCACGUGGCUCAUCGUGUCACUAGUUAACGACUAACUUAAUAGCAACCUUAACGGAUGUAUGAAACUGUUCAAAAUUUUAACUUCAUUUACCA